GCUCUCAGCCAGCUUGCCUUCAAGAUCCUCAUCUAGACAAGGCUUAAAUUUGGCUUAACUGUUGGCUCCAGCAUUACCGUUUCACAAGGACGGAGGUGCAGCCUGUGUGGUGAUCCUUGCCAGGCGAAGGCACCAGGAAGAAUCCUUAUCCAAUGACGGGGACCCUAAAACUUGCCCGCACUCUUUUAACAUUUCUUACUUCAGGAGGUGUCCGGCCUCAGAAAAUGCUGCUCCAAAGUCCUUUGGAUGGAAUUGAAUGAGACCUAGAGGAUUCACAAGGAAUCUCCAUUUUGAAGAUGGUGGCAGAUUCAAGAUCAGAAGUCUCACAGAGAGGGCUCCUGCUGAACGCCUGGGAGAAGAAUAGACCAGAAGGAGGCUGGACACAGAGGCUGUGUGGGGCCACUCCAGCCUAUCACCAGGACACCUAAGCCUUCUGUCCAGUUGUGCUUUACACUGUCCUCCAGGCUUCCAAACAGUUUUCAUUGAGUCUUUGGAUGCUCAUUUCUGAAGCCACAUUAAAUCGAGGCUACUUCCUCUUAUUAACCUUUCUUUUUGUUGUUUGGAGACAGGGUAUGAUUAUGUAGCUUUGGCUGGCUUAGAAUUUAUCAUAUAGACCAGGAUACCCUUGAGUCCCUCCUUCCUCUGACUCCUAAAUCUGAGUGCUGAGACAAAAGAUGUGUGUCACCGCGCAUGGCAGCCUGUCUUUUGUUAUUAGGCAUGCUGGCUCUGCCUUUAUGGGGAGCAAGAAGUAUCAAACCUUCCUACUACAGAAGUCCCACGUUAAGGGAAAUCUAGAGUAAGCCUAGAUCAGAGAACGUACUAAUUACUAGCAUAGUUCUUUGACUCCAGGGAUAUGAAAAUGUCACCAUUUAAAACCUCAGUAGGGGACCACCUCAGUUUAACAUCAGGGAAGUGAAUGAAAUCUCAUACCGUAGGGUCAGGCACAGGAUGCUCAUAUUCAAGAACCCAGGACACAAUCACAUUAUUUAUAGACCAGCAAGAGCACAGGAAGAAAGAAAAAGAAGGAAGGGGCGAGGCAUGAAAGUAGUGAAUGGAGGCUGAACGGAGGAGGAAACACCUAGCAUAGGUCUUAGUUGCUCAGGGCUCCAUUAGCUGCGAGGUAGCAUGGCUUGCCAUGUCCUGAAGCUCUUGUGCUGAGAUUCUAUUUAUUCCCUCCCAGGUUUCUAAAGCCCUGAUUUGUAUUAAAAAAAACCAAAAAACAAAAAACAAAAUUGCACAGCCU
RNAcentral lists this long non-coding RNA (1243 nucleotides) under Mus musculus (house mouse). Its description in RNAcentral is "lincRNA-EC160". The record is from RNAcentral. Lineage: Eukaryota; Metazoa; Chordata; Mammalia; Rodentia; Muridae.